AUGAACUAGAACGCUUUGGAAAGAGCGGCCAUAGACGGUGAUAGCCCGGUAUAGGUAAAGAUCAUAAACCAUAGUGGUAUCCUGAGUAGUGCGGGGCACGAGAAACCCUGUAUGAAUUUGGCGGGACCAUCCGCUAAGGCUAAAUACUCCUGAGAGACCGAUAGUGAACCAGUACCGUGAGGGAAAGGUGAAAAGAACCGUGAAUAACGGAGUGAAAUAGAUCCUGAAACCAUACGCUUACAAGCGGUCGGAGCCCUUUAGGGGGUGACGGCGUGCCUUUUGCAUAAUGAGCCUACGAGUUAACGUUGCCAGCGAGGUUAAGGGGUUAAGCCCUGGAGCCGUAGCGAAAGCGAGUCUGAAUAGGGCGCUUUAGUUGGUAGUGUUAGACGCGAAACCGUGUGAUCUACCCUUGGGCAGGUUGAAGCUGUGGUAACACAUAGUGGAGGACCGAACCCGUUGACGUUGAAAAGUCUUGGGAUGACCUGAGGGUAGGGGUGAAAGGCCAAUCAAACUCGGAAAUAGCUCGUACUCCCCGAAAUGCAUUUAGGUGCAGCGAUUUAUUAGUUUUAUAGAGGUAGAGCUACUGAUUGGAUGCGGGGGCUUCACCGCCUACCAAUUCCUGACAAACUCCGAAUGCUAUAAAAUGAUGUAGAUCAGUGAGGGCAUGGGUGCUAAGGUCCAUGUCCGAGAGGGAAAGAACCCAGACCAUCAGCUAAGGUCCCCAAAUGUAUGUUAAGUUGAAAAAACGCGGUUGAACUGCUUAGACAGCUAGGAUGUUGGCUUGGAAGCAGCCAUUCAUUUAAAGAGUGCGUAACAGCUCACUAGUCGAGCGGUUCGGCAUGGAUAAUAAUCGGGCAUAAACAUACUACCGAAGCUAUGGAUUU
This 884-nucleotide ribosomal RNA is filed under the name Salinimicrobium oceani. Its description in RNAcentral is "Salinimicrobium sp. CDJ15-91 partial 23S ribosomal RNA". It matches the Rfam family "Bacterial large subunit ribosomal RNA", at positions 323 to 1209 of the family's 2925-position model. The record is from RNAcentral. Lineage: Bacteria; Pseudomonadati; Bacteroidota; Flavobacteriia; Flavobacteriales; Flavobacteriaceae.